This 384-nucleotide long non-coding RNA is filed under the name Elaeis guineensis (African oil palm). RNAcentral describes it as "long non-coding RNA (EGUI_LNC007553)". The record is from RNAcentral. Lineage: Eukaryota; Viridiplantae; Streptophyta; Magnoliopsida; Arecales; Arecaceae.
CUCUAUGCAUAUCAAGAGGAUGAGUGGAAUUUCAUUGACUGGGCAAUGCUUGAAACAUAAGGCUGAUGUACUUUUCUUGUUCCCAUUGAAUGUGAUGACAAGCUCUCAUGGCUUAGUGCCAUGCUAUGGUGUUCAUAUGAUGUCAUGGUGUUGGUCUUGUUGUGAAUAUAUAGAAUGGCAUAUCUGGUAUUGGUCUUGCUCCGAUCUAUGUGGUAUUGAACGUCUCUUGAAAAUAAGGAUGCAGAUGUAUGGUUGAGGCAGUUUGAUGCUUGGUAUGCAAAUGAAAAUAAGGACCCUAUGUUUCAUUGCUUGCUGAUUAUAUGGAGGUAUCAGUGCUCUGUGUUGGUGCUAUUGAGAGGAAAACAAGGGCUGCUAUGAUUAUCA